RNAcentral lists this ribosomal RNA (433 nucleotides) under uncultured bacterium. RNAcentral's name for it is "partial 16S ribosomal RNA". It matches the Rfam family "Bacterial small subunit ribosomal RNA", at positions 29 to 507 of the family's 1533-position model. The record is from RNAcentral.
AGCGAACGCUGGCGGCAGGCUUAACACAUGCAAGUCGAGCGGGCCCUUCGGGGUCAGCGGCGGACGGGUGAGUAACGCGUGGGAACGUGCCUUCUGGUCUGGAAUAACCCUGGGAAACUAGGGCUAAUACCGGAUACGCCCUUUUGGGGAAAGGUUUACUGCCGGAAGAUCGGCCCGCGUCUGAUUCGCUAGUUGGUGGGGUAACGGCCUACCAAGGCGACGAUCAGUAGCUGGUCUGAGAGGAUGAUCAGCCACACUGGGACUGAGACACGGCCCAGACUCCUACGGGAGGCAGCAGUGGGGAAUAUUGGACAAUGGGCGCAAGCCUGAUCCAGCCAUGCCGCGUGAGUGAUGAAGGCCUUAGGGUUGUAAAGCUCUUUUAUCCGGGACGAUAAUGACGGUACCGGAGGAAUAAGCCCCGGCUAACUUCGUG